UCCUACUUAUACUUCUCCCUAAUACUGGGACACACAAAUCCCCUCUUGAAGCUUAGGGCUACAAUUUUCUUCAUCGUCUGAUAAUCCUCAGUUUAUAUUUUCUCUAGUUAUUUUUGUUAACUGGAAACAAAGCCUGUUAACACUAACAUGUGUUAGUCCAUUAGUGAAAGUUUUCACAUAUUUAUUCAGUUAGUUUGAGCUGAUAAAGACAACUUUGGAAAUUUUUCCUUUGUUCCUGAAAAUAACAAAUAUGAAGAACCCCCACUUGCUGGUUUCUACAAUAGAUUCCGGCACUUUUAAAAUUGAACAUAAAGUGUUUUCCAUUGAGGCUCUACACUGGAAAGCAAAUUAUUUGAUGAGCAUGUGUUUCUUAAAGCAAACAAAUGAUGUGACAGUGCUAACUAGCCUGUACAUAUUUUUCCUUAGUGCGUGUUAAUCAAUUUGCCUACUGGAUAUAUAAAAUAUAUGUGAUGGUUAAUACUGAGUGUCAACUUGGAUUAGAUUGAAGGAUGCAAAUUAUUGAUCCUGGAUGUGUCUGUGAGGGUGUUGCCAAAGAAGAUUAACAUUUGAGUCAGUGGACUGGGACAGGCAGACCCACCUACCAGCUGGGUGGGCACCUUCUAUUCAGCUGCCAGCAAAUAUAAAGCAGGCAGAAAAACUUGAAAAGGCUAGACUGGCUUAGCCUCCCAGCCUACAUCUUUCUCCCAUUCUAGAUGCUUCCUGUCCUUGAACAUCAGACUUCAAGUUCUUCAGUUUUGGGACUUGGACUGGCCCCUUGCUCCUCAGCUUCCCAAUGGCCUACUGUGGGACCUUGUGAUCAUAAGCUGACAAACGGUUUAUAUCAGAAGGUGGAAUCGUGGGUAUGGUCGAUGUGGCAGGUCCUAAACAUAAAUUGGGCUUCCGAGUGUCAAAUUGCAUCUGGUGAAGACUGAAGACUUCUAUCCUGGAAUGUCUUUGACCUCACUUGCCAUUUGCAGUGAAGAUUUAUCAGCUCCAAAUGGAAAGGAAUGGGAAUUGAUUGUGAAGGCAAACAUCAGGCUGUUAUCCUGAAAGAGAAGCAAAACAGACCUAACUCCAAGAGAAAAUUUUGCCCAAAUGUUGUAAAGCACAAAGAAAAAUACCCAGAUUGUUUCCUUUUUAUAUUCCAAAUCAUUGACAAAACUGAAAAUGUCUUUCUUUUCCUUUUCCUUUUUGUGACUAUACUAGUCACAAAAAUCUAAUAGCUUUCUAAUUUAUCUCAUUUGAUAUUAUCUCAUCAUUAGAAGUUUUGGAAACUUUGGAAAUGGCACUAGAAUCUCAUUUAAAAAAUUAAUGCAGACUCAUUGUUAAAUAAGAUGAACUGACUACAUGAAUUUAACUUAUCUUCAAACCCAAUAAAAAUGUCACAAAAGAAUUAAAAAAAUUAACUUCCCAGGAAAAAGACAAUUAGAUAUGAAAUAAGAGCAUAGGAAAAUUUCAAUUAUCUUUGGAAGACAGAGAGUGGAAAGAAUAAUCAUUUAAAAAUCACAUAGCAGAAAAAGUUAGUCUAAUUAUUUGCCAAAGAAUUCCAAUGAGAAUCAAGUUAUCAGUUCCUGAAAAAAGACGUGUGGAAGUGGACUUAACAAAAGAGUAGAAUUGGUUGAAAAUUCAUAUAUAAAAGGCAGAGACAGUCAGAUUCCCAUCUGCAUCCCAGGAAGCCAGGCAACUGUGAUGCCAUCCCCCAAGGUUAGAGCGAAAUGUUUGUAGAAAUUGAACCAAUCAGGCCCUGGAUACUGGGAAAUCAGGUUUUAGUCAGGUAUAGAUAUGAGGAACUGGAUUGUACACCAGAGAAAUUAGGAGUAAAGUUACUCCAGAUUAGGUUGCCUGAUAAUUUGGUGGCUGAUUGUUAAAAUCCAGUCUCUGCUAAGGCCAGAAUCAAGCUGAAAGCUUUGUUUCAAAAGGAGAGUAUUUAUCAUCCGAGAAUGGCAGAAAUUUGCCCCAAAAUGUGAAGAGUCUGCACUGCUAUUCACCAAGGGGCCUGCUAAAAAUCUCCAAGCAGCACCUCCCUCCGGCACUGACGCUUCACACAUCAUCAAAUCUGAUGGACAACAUGAUGCAUAUGGUAGUCUUCUCUUAUUUGGGCCCCUGUUCAAAAGUAGCUUUUGGGGUCAGUUGGAAAUGGACCAAAGUAGGACACCCAGUGAGGAAUAAAUUGCCUCCAAAAUCAAAGGGGCCCACCAGGAAUUGUUCCUUGUUUUUUUUCAUAAUAGGGGCCAGAUGUAACAUGCUCUGUCCCAUUUGACCCCUAGAAGUUUAACUGGAUAAAUGUUCUCUGAUUUGUGUGUGUGUGUGUGUGUGUGUUUAUUCCCUAGACUCUGGCACACAAAUAUCUUUCCAAUUAAUCUAGAGUAGUUGCUAUUUCUUGUUCACUAUGUCUAAUCCACAUACAAUGUCA
Molecule: long non-coding RNA, 2413 nt
Filed under: Homo sapiens (human)
Lineage: Eukaryota; Metazoa; Chordata; Mammalia; Primates; Hominidae
Description: HSALNT0246906
Source: RNAcentral